RNAcentral lists this ribosomal RNA (721 nucleotides) under bacterium H_C49_69. Its description in RNAcentral is "bacterial SSU rRNA". It matches the Rfam family "Bacterial small subunit ribosomal RNA", at positions 102 to 862 of the family's 1533-position model. The record is from RNAcentral.
ACGGGUUAGUAACGCGUGGGAACAUACCCUUUGGUACGGAAUAGCCUCUGGAAACGGAGAGUAAUACCGUAUGAGCCCUUCGGGGGAAAGAUUUAUCGCCAAAGGAUUGGCCCGCGUUAGAUUAGGUAGUUGGUGGGGUAAUGGCCUACCAAGCCUACGAUCUAUAGCUGGUUUUAGAGGAUGAUCAGCAACACUGGGACUGAGACACGGCCCAGACUCCUACGGGAGGCAGCAGUGGGGAAUCUUGGACAAUGGGGGCAACCCUGAUCCAGCCAUGCCGCGUGAGUGAUGAAGGCCUUAGGGUCGUAAAGCUCUUUCGCCUGUGAAGAUAAUGACGGUAGCAGGUAAAGAAACCCCGGCUAACUCCGUGCCAGCAGCCGCGGUAAUACGGAGGGGGUUAGCGUUGUUCGGAAUUACUGGGCGUAAAGCGCACGUAGGCGGACUGGAAAGUUGGGGGUGAAAUCCCAGGGCUCAACCCUGGAACUGCCUCCAAAACUAUCAGUCUAGAGUUCGAGAGAGGUGAGUGGAAUUCCGAGUGUAGAGGUGAAAUUCGUAGAUAUUCGGAGGAACACCAGUGGCGAAGGCGGCUCACUGGCUCGAUACUGACGCUGAGUGCGAAAGUGUGGGGAGCAAACAGGAUUAGAUACCCUGGUAGUCCACACCGUAACGAUGAAUGCCAGUUCGUCGGGUAACAUGCUAUUCGUGACCACCUAACGGAUAA